Long non-coding RNA from Felis catus (domestic cat), 941 nucleotides. RefSeq lists it as uncharacterized. The record is from RefSeq and is a predicted model, not a curated record. The transcript is spliced from 8 exons. Lineage: Eukaryota; Metazoa; Chordata; Mammalia; Carnivora; Felidae.
CAAGGAUACAAGGAUAGGCAGCUUUCAUUGUAACCAAAAACAAAAACAAAAAAGAAAAAGGGUGCCUGACCAGGUGAACCUGACAACACAAUGACCACAGCAUUGCAGAGCCAAUUGGAUAAAACAAUAAUUACAGUCUGAUGUAUUUCCUGACUCAUUGGAAACUAAUUUGUGUGAAAAUGAUUCAUCAAAUGCUGAACUGAAAACACUCUUUCCUGCUUGUUUCUAGAUAUUUGAAAAAGACCCUUUUGUGAUCCACUUGCUACGCGAAUGGAAGCUUGAAAGAAUUGCUGCUAUGACCACCCACGCUUCUUUCAAAUUUCUGAGGACCAGCCUUCCUGUGUAAUUCGGUGUUUGAUAUUCAGAUUGUUCUAUUCCUACAAGACAACACUCUGAUCGCUUUCAGAAAAACUGCAUACUAUGGAGACUGAAGAGUGAACUGCCCUUAUGUUAAGUGAGAGAGAACUUCUGUUUGUCUCCAACCCAGAACUGCUCUAAGAAUUAGAACUGAAGCUUUCUUCCUGGAUUCCCCAAACUCAUACAAUAACCCCAGGACAUCUAAAGAACUUGGCAUUUCCUGCUCACCAGUUCAAGAUCACAUCCCUGUCUGGUUCAUUUUAGGGUUAAGCUCUUUAUCACACCAGGAUUUUGGUGAGUAUACCCACUAUAUAUGACCCCAGAGAUUGUCCAGGGCUUUUGCCUAAUACUUCUGAUUUUAGAAACUACUAUUAGGUAACUCAAAUACAGCUCUUCUCCUAGUCUUUACUAUCUACCUCUCCCUUUGACUUUAGCCCUAUAAAUUGAUUUAUGCCAGUGUUACCUGUCUGGGUUCUUCAAAAAACAUUUUAAUAUUUAUUUAUUUUUGAGAGACAGAUCAUCAGUGGGAGAGGAGUGGAGAGAGAGGAAGACACAGAAUCCAAAAGAGGCUCCAGGCUCUGAGC